This is a long non-coding RNA of Dreissena polymorpha, 532 nucleotides long. RefSeq lists it as uncharacterized. Lineage: Eukaryota; Metazoa; Mollusca; Bivalvia; Myida; Dreissenidae. The record is from RefSeq and is a predicted model, not a curated record. The transcript is spliced from 2 exons.
GUUUAAGUGAGAAAGUUGGAACAAAUCUUCCAAGAUGGCGUUGUUUUAGUGUUUUUCGUGAAGGAGUAGCGGAUAUUUUCACCCGAUAUCAAGACGCCAAUUAUAUAUGUCGAGGAUGCCAGGAUUAAAAAAGACGGCGUAACGAAUUGUGUACCGCUCUAUGAAGUGAAAGGUACAUGAAAACCCAUCAAUCAAACAAAAAAGAUAACGUCGAAUUACCACGCCAAACAAUCACAAUGUCAUGUACGUGCACUAUAAGAGUAAUGAAAAACAGAAAAGAGUAAAGCCGUUUCGAUACUAGUAUAAUAUUGCUGUAACCAAAUGCUGCCAUUGUUGCGAUUCGGAAUACAUGAAGCAAUUUGCAAUGCCUGACACCUGCUUUGAAGAUGCAUAUCAGUGGAUGUUUUUUUAUGAAAACUUAAAUAUUAAUUGUUUAUUUAAUACAAUGACAUCUGACACGUUUUACCAUAACGAUACUGAUACAUGUAUUUGACUUUGAUGUGACACAUUUUGGACGACCUUCUUUAAACCA